This 1190-nucleotide long non-coding RNA is filed under the name Homo sapiens (human). Its description in RNAcentral is "HSALNT0355399". The record is from RNAcentral. Lineage: Eukaryota; Metazoa; Chordata; Mammalia; Primates; Hominidae.
GGAGGUAAGGGGGACGGGAGCUGUCAUGGCCAGCUCAGGGACAGGCGCGCACCACUCCUCCCUGAUCCCCCAAGAGCCAGGAUGGAGGCCCUCCCCCUGCUCUGAAGCCCCGCCACACCCCUGCAACCCCUCCCAACUCCCCAGCUCCCCUCCCCGUCCCCAGGGUCUUUGCCGAGGCCGGCUGCUCAAUCUUCCUUCAGGGUCCAGCCCCAGAGACCCCCGUCUCAGACCCUCAGGCUGUUGAGGGGUGAGGGUGGAGUGACCAGGAGGCCUAAGAAGACACCCUUGUUUGCAGCCUCCCCAGGCGGAGCAGCUCAGCUCAGGUCAGAACCCCGGGGGGCUGCCAGGCCCUCUGGGCCCUGAGCUGCCCUGCCACUGUCACCAGGUGAGGGAUCAAAGGGACACAGAGAGCUGGCAGCGCAGGUUAGGGGCAUCGUGGCACACCAGGUAGAGUGGGAGGACCCCUGGUGGUCUGCAGUUCUUGGGGGCCCAAGCAGGUGUCUUCCAGGGGUCUUGCAUCUUUCCUGUCCCCAUGUCCCCCACUGAAGUGAGUUUUGGCUGCUCCAGGAGAAGCAGGAGCUGAGGGGCAGGGAGCUCCUUACCUGGCCCAGGCCGGCCCUUGUUCAAGGCUUCGAGGCCAGCAGGAGAGCAGAGGGGGGAUGGAGGGGGCUGGCUCCCCCACGGGCAGGGGCAGGAGGCUCUGACCAUACCCAGCUCCCCGUGCUGUGCCCGUAGGCCCUGCACAGAGGCCACUCAUUUGGAACACCAGGUCCAGGGAUGCUACAAAACUCUCCUCUCUCUCCUCAAGUCGGGAGGGGUGGGCACAUUCCUUGAGCCCCCACCAAGUGCCUCUCCUGUGUCCCCUAACCCUCAGACAAGCAGCAGGCAAGGAGCUAUGGGCACCCCAGGCUGAAGCUGCAGGCAGCAGGAAGAGUGUGAAGAUGUAACCAGACAGCAUGCCUGAGGCACGCGGAACAGGGCCUGCAGGAGCUGGGCGAGCCAUGUUUGACAGAGAAGUUAGGGAGGAGGGAGAUGAGCACAUGUAAGCACGUAAAUACGCACAUGCAUGCUGAUGUGUGUGUAAAUGAGCAUGUAUUUGCAUGCAGAGGCAUGUGUACGAAUAUGUGCAUGCAUGUGUGGAUGGGAUUGCAUGCAUGUAUGUACAAUGUGCAUGUAUGCAUACAUGUACA